This 438-nucleotide ribosomal RNA is filed under the name uncultured bacterium. RNAcentral describes it as "bacterial SSU rRNA". It matches the Rfam family "Bacterial small subunit ribosomal RNA", at positions 340 to 773 of the family's 1533-position model. The record is from RNAcentral.
UACGGAAGGCAGCAGUGGGGAAUAUUGCACAAUGGGCGCAAGCCUGAUGCAGCCAUGCCGCGUGUAUGAAGAAGGCCUUCGGGUUGUAAAGUACUUUCAGUCGUGAGGAAGGUGUUAAGGUUAAUAACCUUAGCAAUUGACGUUAGCGACAGAAGAAGCACCGGCUAACUCCGUGCCAGCAGCCGCGGUAAUACGGAGGGUGCGAGCGUUAAUCGGAAUUAUUGGGCGUAAAGGGCACGCAGGCGGUUAAUUAAGUUGGAUGUGAAAUCCCCGGGCUUAACCUGGGAAUGGCAUUCAAGACUGGUUAGCUAGAGUCUUGUAGAGGGGGUAGAAUUCCAUGUGUAGCGGUGAAAUGCGUAGAGAUGUGGAGGAAUACCGGUGGCGAAGGCGGCCCCUGGCAAAGACUGACGCUCAUGUGCGAAAGCGUGGGGAGCAAAC